This 371-nucleotide ribosomal RNA is filed under the name Pseudomonas aeruginosa. RNAcentral describes it as "partial 23S ribosomal RNA". It matches the Rfam family "Bacterial large subunit ribosomal RNA", at positions 2560 to 2925 of the family's 2925-position model. The record is from RNAcentral. RNAcentral also lists the same sequence under 1 other name. Lineage: Bacteria; Pseudomonadati; Pseudomonadota; Gammaproteobacteria; Pseudomonadales; Pseudomonadaceae.
AGGUCCCAAGGGUAUGGCUGUUCGCCAUUUAAAGUGGUACGCGAGCUGGGUUUAGAACGUCGUGAGACAGUUCGGUCCCUAUCUGCCGUGGGCGCUGGAGAACUGAGGGGGGCUGCUCCUAGUACGAGAGGACCGGAGUGGACGCAUCACUGGUGUUCGGGUUGUCAUGCCAAUGGCACUGCCCGGUAGCUAAAUGCGGAAGAGAUAAGUGCUGAAAGCAUCUAAGCACGAAACUUGCCCCGAGAUGAGUUCUCCCUGACUCCUUGAGAGUCCUGAAGGAACGUUGAAGACGACGACGUUGAUAGGCCGGGUGUGUAAGCGCAGCGAUGCGUUGAGCUAACCGGUACUAAUGAACCGUGAGGCUUAACCUU